This is a non-coding RNA of Myodes glareolus (Bank vole), 305 nucleotides long. The record is from RefSeq and is a predicted model, not a curated record. Lineage: Eukaryota; Metazoa; Chordata; Mammalia; Rodentia; Cricetidae.
CUUUCGACAAAAAGGCUGUGGCCAAAUUGAAACAAUGUUUCCUAGACCAGUCUGAGGAGACUCUGGCCAAUGUUAAAGUGAUGGUGGAUGCUAUAUUCAACAGUAAAGACUGUCCACAGUCUGCCUAAAAGUUCCAUAAGACCUUUGGCUCACAGGACUGAAAAGAAUGAUCACGAGUCAGCAGCUGAUACCACAAAUCAUAACUUUUCUUUCUUGAUUUUAUCUUUCUGUCUAUAAAGUGCAAGACUAUUGUUGGAAUCUCAAAGGCAUUUCUUUCUACUCAUUAAAUUAACUGCAAAUACUGA